This 769-nucleotide ribosomal RNA is filed under the name uncultured bacterium. Its description in RNAcentral is "bacterial SSU rRNA". It matches the Rfam family "Bacterial small subunit ribosomal RNA", at positions 9 to 795 of the family's 1533-position model. The record is from RNAcentral.
GAGUUUGAUCCUGGCUCAGGACGAACGCUGGCGGCGUGCUUAACACAUGCAAGUCGAACGAGGCCAGGCCUUCGGGUCUGAUCGAGUGGCGAACGGGUGAGUAACACGUGAGAAACCUGCCCCGGAGACCGGGACAACCAAGGGAAACUUUGGCUAAUACCGGAUGCCCCCGGAUGAUCGCAUGAUCAACCGAGGAAAGGCUCCGGCGCUCUGGGAGGGUCUCGCGGCCUAUCAGCUUGUUGGCGGGGUAACGGCCCACCAAGGCAUCGACGGGUAGCUGGUCUGAGAGGACGAUCAGCCACACUGGGACUGAGAUACGGCCCAAACUCCUACGGGAGGCAGCAGUGGGGAAUAUUGCGCAAUGGGCGAAAGCCUGACGCAGCAACGCCGCGUGGGGGAUGAAGGCUUUCGGGUUGUAAACCCCUUUCAGCAGGGACGAAAAUGACGGUACCUGCAGAAGAAGCCCCGACCAACUACGUGCCAGCAGCCGCGGUAACACGUAGGGGGCGAGCGUUGUCCGGAUUUAUUGGGCGUAAAGAGCUCGUAGGCGGUUGCGUAAGUCGGAUGUGAAAACUCAGGGCUCAACCCGGAGAUGCCAUCUGAUACUGCGCUGACUAGAGUCCGGUAGAGGAGCAUGGAAUUCUUGGUGUAGCGGUGAAAUGCGCAGAUAUCAGGAGGAACACCAGCGGCGAAGGCGGUGCUCUGGGCCGGACCUGACCCUGAGGAGCGAAAGCGUGGGUAGCGAACAGGAUUAGAUACCCUGGUAGUC